RNAcentral lists this ribosomal RNA (301 nucleotides) under uncultured bacterium. Its description in RNAcentral is "partial 16S ribosomal RNA". It matches the Rfam family "Bacterial small subunit ribosomal RNA", at positions 509 to 807 of the family's 1533-position model. The record is from RNAcentral.
CAGUAGCCACGGUAAUACAGAGGGUGCGAGCGUUAAUCGGAUUUACUGGGCGUAAAGCGUGCGUAGGCGGCUUUUUAAGUCGGAUGUGAAAUCCCUGAGCUUAACUUAGGAAUUGCAUUCGAUACUGGGAAGCUAGAGUAUGGGAGAGGAUGGUAGAAUUCCAGGUGUAGCGGUGAAAUGCGUAGAGAUCUGGAGGAAUACCGAUGGCGAAGGCAGCCAUCUGGCCUAAUACUGACGCUGAGGUACGAAAGCAUGGGUAGCAAACAGGAUUAGAUACCCCCGUAGUCCCUGUCUCUUAUAC